RNAcentral lists this ribosomal RNA (242 nucleotides) under Bacteroidales bacterium. RNAcentral's name for it is "partial 16S ribosomal RNA". It matches the Rfam family "Bacterial small subunit ribosomal RNA", at positions 1290 to 1533 of the family's 1533-position model. Lineage: Bacteria; Pseudomonadati; Bacteroidota; Bacteroidia; Bacteroidales. The record is from RNAcentral.
AGUUCGGAUCGGAGUCUGCAACUCGACUCCGUGAAGCUGGAUUCGCUAGUAAUCGCGCAUCAGCCAUGGCGCGGUGAAUACGUUCCCGGGCCUUGUACACACCGCCCGUCAAGCCAUGGAAGCCGGGGGUACCUGAAGUUCGUGACCGCGAGGAGCGACCUAGGGUAAAACUGGUAACUGGGGCUAAGUCGUAACAAGGUAGCCGUACCGGAAGGUGUGGCUGGAUUACCUCCUUUCUGGAG